AGCAUUAUACCGUGAAACUGCGAAUGGCUCAUUAAAUCAGUUAUCGUUUAUUUGAUAGUACCUUACUACUUGGAUAACCGUGGUAAUUCUAGAGCUAAUACAUGCUGAAAACCCCAACUUCGGGAGGGGUGUAUUUAUUAGAUAAAAAACCAACGCCCUUCGGGGCUUCUUGGUGAUUCAUGAUAACUUCACGGAUCGCAUGGCCUUGCGCCGGCGACGGUUCAUUCAAAUUUCUGCCCUAUCAACUUUCGAUGGUAAAGGUAUUGGCUUACCAUGGUUUCAACGGGUAACGGGGAAUUAGGGUUCGAUUCCGGAGAGGGAGCCUGAGAAACGGCUACCACAUCCAAGGAAGGCAGCAGGCGCGCAAAUUACCCAAUCCCGACACGGGGAGGUAGUGACAAUAAAUACUGAUACAGGGCUCUUUUGGGUCUUGUAAUUGGAAUGAGUACAAUUUAAACCUCUUAACGAGGAACAAUUGGAGGGCAAGUCUGGUGCCAGCAGCCGCGGUAAUUCCAGCUCCAAUAGCGUAUAUUAAAGUUGUUGCAGUUAAAAAGCUCGUAGUUGAAACUUGGGCCUGGCUGGCAGGUCCGCCUCACCGCGUGUACUUGUCCGGCCGGGCCUUUCCUUCUGGAGAACCUCAUGCCCUUCACUGGGUGUGUUGGGGAACCAGGACUUUUACUUUGAAAAAAUUAGAGUGUUCAAAGCAGGCCUUUGCUCGAAUACGUUAGCAUGGAAUAAUAGAAUAGGACGUGCGGUCCUAUUUUGUUGGUUUCUAGGACCGCCGUAAUGAUUAAUAGGGACAGUCGGGGGCAUCAGUAUUCAAUUGUCAGAGGUGAAAUUCUUGGAUUUAUUGAAGACUAACUACUGCGAAAGCAUUUGCCAAGGAUGUUUUCAUUAAUCAGUGAACGAAAGUUAGGGGAUCGAAGACGAUCAGAUACCGUCGUAGUCUUAACCGUAAACUAUGCCGACUAGGGAUCGGGCGAUGUUCUUUUUCUGACUCGCUCGGCACCUUACGAGAAAUCAAAGUUU
RNAcentral lists this ribosomal RNA (1029 nucleotides) under Neomicrosphaeropsis juglandis. RNAcentral's name for it is "SSU rRNA". It matches the Rfam family "Eukaryotic small subunit ribosomal RNA", at positions 68 to 1106 of the family's 1831-position model. The record is from RNAcentral. Lineage: Eukaryota; Fungi; Ascomycota; Dothideomycetes; Pleosporales; Didymellaceae.